Molecule: ribosomal RNA, 377 nt
Filed under: uncultured organism
Description: partial 16S ribosomal RNA
Rfam family: Bacterial small subunit ribosomal RNA
Source: RNAcentral
GUAGGUGGCAAGCGUUGUCCGGAAUUAUUGGGCGUAAAGCGCGCGCAGGCGGUUCUUUAAGUCUGAUGUGAAAGCCCACGGCUCAACCGUGGAGGGUCAUUGGAGACUGGAGAACUUGAGUACAGAAGAGGAAAGCGGAAUUCCACGUGUAGCGGUGAAAUGCGUAGAGAUGUGGAGGAACACCAGUGGCGAAGGCGGCUUUCUGGUCUGUAACUGACGCUGAGGCGCGAAAGCGUGGGGGGAGCAAACAGGAUUAGAUACCCUGGUAGUCCACGCCGUAAACGAUGAGUGCUAAGUGUUAGGGGGUUUCCGCCCCCCCCUUAGUGCUGCAGCUAACGCAUUAAGCACUCCGCCUGGGGAGUACGGCCGCAAGGCUG